UUCUGGACUGACACUGACACUGAGGUGCGAAAGCGUGGGUAGCAAACAGGAUUAGAUACCCUGGUAGUCCACGCCGUAAACGAUGUCGACCAGCCGUUGGGUGCCUAGCGCACUUUGUGGCGAAGUUAACGCGAUAAGUCGACCGCCUGGGGAGUACGGCCGCAGGGUUAAAACUCAAAUGAAUUGACGGGGGCCCGCACAAGCGGUGGAGCAUGUGGUUUAAUUCGAUGCAACGCGAAGAACCUUACCUACCCUUGACAUCCUGCGAACCCGGAAGAGAUUCCGGGGUGCCUUCGGGAACGCAGAGACAGGUGCUGCAUGGCUGUCGUCAGCUCGUGUUGUGAAAUGUUGGGUUAAGUCCCGUAACGAGCGCAACCCUUGUCCUUAUUUGCCAGCGAGUAAUGUCGGGAACUCUAAGGAGACUGCCGGUGACAAACCGGAGGAAGGUGGGGACGACGUCAAGUCAUCAUGGCCCUUACGGGUAGGGCUACACACGUGCUACAAUGGCCGGUACAAAGGGCUGCGAGCUCGCGAGAGUCAGCGAAUCCCUUAAAGCCGGUCUCAGUCCGGAUCGGAGUCUGCAACUCGACUCCGUGAAGUCGGAAUCGCUAGUAAUCGUGAAUCAGAAUGUCACGGUGAAUACGUUCCCGGGCCUUGUACACACCGCCCGUCACACCAUGGGAGUGGACUGCACCAGAAGUGGUUAGCCUAACGCAAGAGGGCGAUCACCACGGUGUGGUUCAUGACUGGGGUGAAGUCGUAACAAGGUAGCCGU
This 775-nucleotide ribosomal RNA is filed under the name uncultured Halomonas sp. RNAcentral's name for it is "bacterial SSU rRNA". It matches the Rfam family "Bacterial small subunit ribosomal RNA", at positions 727 to 1503 of the family's 1533-position model. Lineage: Bacteria; Pseudomonadati; Pseudomonadota; Gammaproteobacteria; Oceanospirillales; Halomonadaceae. The record is from RNAcentral.